This 555-nucleotide ribosomal RNA is filed under the name Sticta tomentosa. RNAcentral describes it as "SSU rRNA". It matches the Rfam family "Bacterial small subunit ribosomal RNA", at positions 491 to 1007 of the family's 1533-position model. Lineage: Eukaryota; Fungi; Ascomycota; Lecanoromycetes; Peltigerales; Lobariaceae. The record is from RNAcentral.
UCUUGACCAAAUUACGUGCCAGCAGUCGCGGUAAUACGUAGAAGACAAGUGUUAUUCAUCUUUAUUAGGUUUAAAGAGUACCAAGACGGUUAAUAAAGCCCAAAAUAAAUGAAUACGGGGGACACAUUAACUAGAGUUAUAUGAAAUGAAGCUAGAAGGUACUGUUGAGUGUAGAGAUGAAAUUCUAUGAUACCAGAUGAUUGGCACAGAUUAAUGCGAAGGCAUCUUCUUAUGUAAUAACUGACGUUGUAGGACGAAGGCUUAGGGAGUGAACAGGAUUAGGUACCCCAGUAAUCUAGGCAGAAAAUGAUGAAUGUCAUAGGUUUAAUACAGACAGGUUAAGUUGACUAUCUAAUGGUAAAUAGGUGGUAUUUUAAUGAGUCUAUUAUUGUGUCUAUAAAUGAAAGUGUAAGCAUUCCACCUCAAGAGUAAUUUGGCAACAUUGGAACUGAAAUCAUUAGACCGUUUCUGAAACCAGUAGUGAAGUAUGUUGUUUAAUUAGAUGAUACACAAAAACCUUACCACAAUUUGAAUAUAUAUAAAUUAUAUUUACAA